CCAGCCCACCCCCCACCACUCCAGGAGCAGACAAUCAAGGGCACUCAAGCGAAGGGCAACGACAGACCAGGACUGCACCACUUGUUUGCACCCAAGAUCAAAAUGCUACCGACACCUUUGAGGAUAUCCCUCCUGGUUACUCGAGUCCACAAUACAUUACCAUGAAAUCAGCUAAUAAGGAAACCAGAAGAAUUCCAGCCUACAACCAAAAUGUCAGAAUUCCACCUGCAAAGCCAAGGAUUCCCCCACCACCAAUCCCUACCAUGAUACCACCUUUCUCUCCAAAGGGGGUGAAAUUAGAAGCCCAAAACAGUCCUACCAGGCUAAGUUGAAUAUUCUGGUUGCAUGAGAGACCUUCAGGACCUACAAAAGCUACAUAUUAUUGAGUUUCUGACCAUUAUCUGAAUGUUAUAUUAUGGAUUCAACAAAUUGUUUUUUAAGAACACCACAUUGUUUGAAACCCACUCUUCAAAGUACAUUCUGAUAACUUCUUAUGAGAUUGGCUACUAUUUGAGCAAAUAGUCUCUGGAGCCUAUCACAUUAAAACAAUUGGUUGGAAGGAUAUUUAAGAUGGAAGGAUAGAAUACUUCCUGACUCAUAUGGGAGCCAAGAAACUUCCUUUCAUCUGAAUAUUGUUCUUUGAAUACAACUAGCCCCAUACUAGUGAGAAAAGUGAUAGGAUGGCCAAGACACUCAGGCCAGUUAGGUCAAUUCUGCCAGUUAUCAAUUUCUCUUCAUUCAUUAGAAAACAAAUAUACUACUGUCAUAAUUUGCCUUGUUUUAUUCAAUAGGAGCUUUAGGUAGCAGUCACACCUCCCAGAAAGUCACCAGAAGAGAUUGGUGGGAACCAAUACUAUUAAACAGCUAGUUAGAUAUGCCAUGUUCAGAACUAGUAUAGCCACAGACCCUCAGAAUUAAAAGGAACUUCAAAGGUCAUCUAAGCCAACUAUCACCAAAAAACUCCUGUAUGUUUUGUUGCCAAGUUGACCCUCUAGUUUCUACAUGAAAAAAAGCCUAUGAUAAGGAAUUCCCUAUUUACUUAAGUAGCUUAUUCUGUUUUUAGGAAGAUGUCAUUUUAAAGAAGCUGUUUGCUUGUUUUUCUGUCUUUCUAAUAUGAAAUGAAAAUCUGCCUUUCUUAUCUUCCCAGCUCAUCACUUUCUAGAUCUCCUAUCCAGAACUAUGCAAAAUAAUUCCAAUUUAUCUUUCAUAAGAUAGCAUUCUAAAUAUUAAUCAAUAAGUAUACAUUUAUUAAGUUCCUACUAUAGUCCAGGCACUAUGUUUAGCUCUGGGGAUACAUAAAGAGGCAAAAAAUGGUCCCUGCCCUCAAGGAGCUAACAGUCUAUUAAUUCAACAGAUUUUUAAUAUAUUAAAUACAGUUAUCAGAUCAGGAUAGCAUAAGAAACUUAUGGCAGUACUCUUCCUCUUAUCCUUAUGAAAAUAUGAAGAAGUGACUGUUUCACAGUACUGGAGUUAGUUGGACUUCAUGCUGGUUGAAUGAUUCCAUUCAGAAAGUAGUCAUUAAUGGAUCAUUAUAAGUUUGGAGUAGAUUACUCCCAUACUCUCUAUAUUGAUUAAGCAAAGGCAUAGUACCUUUUUGACAUGAUAAAUUUUCAAAUAAUACAAAGUUGGGAGGAAUAGAAACACACUGGAAGAUGGCAUCAGUAUCUAAAACAAACCAGAAAGGCUAGAGGAGUUGUUGUUCUUAUUGUGCUUCAGUUGUUUCAGAUGUGUCCAAUUCUGAGACCCUAUUUGGUGUUUUCUUGGCAAAGAUACUGGAUUGGUUUACCAUUUCCUUUGACAGCUCAUUUUUCAGGUAAGAAACCUGAAACAAACAAGGUUAAGAAACUUGACCAGGGUCACAUAGCUAGUAAGUGUCUGAUGCCAGAUUUGAACUUAGGAAGAUGAGUCUUCUUGACUCUAGACAUAGCACUCUAUCUACUAAACCACCUAGUUGUCCUACAGGAAUGCACCCAGGCAAAUAACUAAAAUUUAAAAAAGAUUAAAGGUCUACUUGGGUUCAAAAAGGCAAUGCUACAAAGAGAAGAUGAAGGUUUGGUUAGAAAACAUUCUAUUAAUGCUGAUUUCAAGCUCAGCAUUAGUCAGCUUCUCCAAAAAGAAAUAAAAUCUUGGGUCUCAUUAAGAGAUGCAAAUGCCUGGAGUCAUAGUCUCAUUGUGCUUUGUCCUCACCAGACCAUACUUGAAAUACUCUAUUCAUUUAUGAGUGAUAUGUUUUAGAAAGGAAAAAAAAAGAAAAAAAAAUAGAGAGCAUCCAGAACAAAAAAUCUCUUAAAUUCAUGACAUAUGGAGGUAGUUUAGUCAGGAAAAGAGAAGUCUUAGGAGACAUUAGUGACAAAUUUGAGGAAUGAUAACAUUUCUAUAGUGCUUUUAAGAUUGUAUCCUAACUUUUGGAAUAUGAACUUAAUAUUUAACAAAAAUUGCUGAGAAAAUUGGAACACUAUGGCAGAAGCUCGUAUAGACCAAUAUCUCACACUCUAUACCAAGAUAAGGUCAAAAUGGAUAUAUGAUUUAAAUAUAAAGAGUGAUACCAUCACUAAAUUAGGAGAACACAGAAUAGUUUACUUGGUAAAUCUUUGGAGAAGGAAAGAAUGUAUGACCAAAAAAGAGAUGGAGAAUAAGAUGCUAAAUGAAUAGCUUUUAUUUUAUCAAAUUAAAAAGCUUUUGUGCAAAUAAAAAUGAUGCAAUCAAUAUCAUAAGGGAAAUAACCAACUGGGGAAAAUUAUUACAAUUUUUCCUAUAAAGGAUUACUUUCUAUAAUGUAUAGAGAACUAAGUCAAAUUUAGGAGAAUAUAAACUAUUCUCCAAUUGACAAAUGGUUAAAGAAUAUAAACAAGCAAUUUUCAGAUGAAGAAAUCAAGAACAUCAAUAAUCAUAUAAAAUGUUCUAAAUAUAAAAUGUUCUAAAUCACUCUUGAUUAGAGAAAUGCAAAUUAAAACAACUUUGAGGUACCACCACAUACCUAUCAGAUUGGCCAAUAUAACAGUUAAGGAAAAUAGUAUAUGUUGGAGAGGAUGUGGCAAAAUUUGGACAUUAAUGCAUUAUUGGUGGAGUUGUGGGCUGAUCUGACCAUUCUGGAGGGCAAUUUGGAACUGUGCCCAAAGGGCUAUAAAACUGUGCAUACCCUUUGAUCUGGCAAUACCAGUAUUGGGUUUGUAUACCAAACAGAUAAUAAAAAAGGGGGAAAGGACUUACUAGUAUAAAACUACUUAUGGCACCUCUUUUGUAGUGGUAAAGAAGUAGAAAUUGAGGGGAUGUCCAUCAUUUGGGGAAUGGUUGAACAAAUUGUGGGAUAUGUUGGUGAUGGAAUACUAUUAUGUUAUAAGAGAUGAUAAAAUGAUUUCAGAAAAUGCUGGAAAGAUCUGUGGGAACUGAUGUAGGGGAAAUGAGCAGAAUUGAGAGAACACUAUACAUAUAACAGCAAUAUUGUAUGAUGAUUAUCUAUGAAAAUGUGACUACUCAGCAAUGCAGCAAUCUGGGAUGAUCCUGAAAGAUUUAUGAGGGAGAAUGCUAUCCACCUCCAUAGAAAGAAUUAUUGGAAUCAUCUUUCACAUAUAUUUAUGGGUUUGGGGGUGUUUUUGUUAUGUAUGAGUGUGUUCUUACAA
Molecule: non-coding RNA, 3620 nt
Organism: Monodelphis domestica (gray short-tailed opossum)
Lineage: Eukaryota; Metazoa; Chordata; Mammalia; Didelphimorphia; Didelphidae
Source: RefSeq, a predicted model, not a curated record